This is a small nucleolar RNA of Puma concolor (puma), 150 nucleotides long. RefSeq annotates it as small nucleolar RNA SNORA38. Lineage: Eukaryota; Metazoa; Chordata; Mammalia; Carnivora; Felidae. The record is from RefSeq and is a predicted model, not a curated record.
UCUUUUUUAAAAAACUUGCCCUAUAAUCUUAUAGUUAGCAGGACUAUUUAAAGACAUAACACGUAAGAAUCGGAGGAAGAAAAACGUGGAUUUGGAGAAGUCUGGGGCCAGCUUGCUUCCUGCAGGCUCAAGAUCAACCAUCCAACAGAG